UGUGGUCCAGGAGGGGCAGCUAGGGAGGAUAUUUGGGGGCAAAAGGCACGGAUCAGGAUUGCUUCUCCCCGGCUGGCAAGGAAUGGAGAGCGUGAGAAACACUGAAGUUAGGACUAUUUCAGAUCUUCGUUAUGGUAACUCAUGCAAGAAGUUGUUGAAUUAAACCCAUUU
Long non-coding RNA from Suncus etruscus (white-toothed pygmy shrew), 171 nucleotides. RefSeq lists it as uncharacterized. The record is from RefSeq and is a predicted model, not a curated record. The transcript is spliced from 2 exons. NCBI's taxonomy places the organism in Eukaryota, Metazoa, Chordata, Mammalia, Eulipotyphla, Soricidae.